This is a long non-coding RNA of Oncorhynchus tshawytscha (Chinook salmon), 300 nucleotides long. NCBI's taxonomy places the organism in Eukaryota, Metazoa, Chordata, Actinopteri, Salmoniformes, Salmonidae. The record is from Ensembl.
CUUGUAGUCGGACAGGACAGAGUGGAAAGGAAUGGACAUUAAACCACUGGCCCCUCAGCACCAAAACGAACACGCUAAACAAGCUGAUAUCACAUUGGACAAGAAUGAUAAUGGACAUUGCAUUCAUCAACCAAUAGUUUGUGAUUAAGGAAGUUGGCCUUGCCAAAUCAGAGGGCUCUUAUGUCAUCCAGAGGUUACGUAACAGGAAGAAGAAGUGAGGUCGUCUUGGAUUCAUCCAGCGUCAUCAUCACCCAGGACAGCAAAUCCACGGAUGACGCCAUCGCACUGCACACUCCCCUA